RNAcentral lists this ribosomal RNA (773 nucleotides) under uncultured Neocallimastigales. RNAcentral describes it as "partial large subunit ribosomal RNA". It matches the Rfam family "Eukaryotic large subunit ribosomal RNA", at positions 23 to 643 of the family's 3401-position model. Lineage: Eukaryota; Fungi; Neocallimastigomycota; Neocallimastigomycetes; Neocallimastigales. The record is from RNAcentral.
GAGACUCUGUGCGCGUGCAUAUCAAUAAGCGGAGGAAAAGAAACUAACAAGGAUUCCCUUAGUAACGGCGAGUGAAGCGGGAAGAGCUCAAACUUGAAAUCUUCAAGGUUCUACCUUGACGAAUUGUAGUUUAAAGAAGUGUUUUCUGUUAGAUGAGUAGCAAAAGUUCCUUGGAAUGGGACAUCAUAGAGGGUGAGAAUCCCGUAUUUGGUUAUUCAUUCUAGCUUUGUGAUACACUUUCAAAGAGUCGGAUUGUUUGGGAAUGCAGUCCAAAAUGGGUGGUAAAUUUCAUCUAAAGCUAAAUAUUGGCGAGAGACCGAUAGCGAACAAGUACCGUGAGGGAAAGAUGAAAAGAACUUUGAAAAGAGAGUUAAACAGUACGUGAAAUUGUCAAAAGGGAAGCGUUUGACACCAGUGUUGUUUUUCCGAAAAUCAAUUACGAAUGGCUUGAUUUUGUGUUGUAUUGACCUUAUCAGCUUUCUGCACUUUUUUCGAGUCUUUCUUAAUGCACUUUUCGGUUAACAAGUCAACAUCAAUUUCUUUUGUUGUAAAAGAGUAUUCGGAAGGUGGCUUUCUUUUCGGAGAAAGUGUUUAUAGCCCUAUACUUCUACAAUCGGAGAGAUUGAGGUCUGCAGCGUAGAUCCUUCGGGGUUAGAUACACUUGUGCUAAGUUGUAGCUUUUCAUAGACAACUUGUUGACUAUGUUUAGUCAUGCGGCUUACUCGCUUGUGCUAUUUUACCUACGCUUAGGAUGUUGACUGAUAUGUAGUCGU